GCGAGUAUGGCGGAAUGGUAGACGCGCUGUCUUCAGGUGGCAGUGAGCGUAUGCUCGUGGGGGUUCAACUCCCCCUACUCGCACGA
Molecule: transfer RNA, 86 nt
Filed under: Bifidobacterium commune
Lineage: Bacteria; Bacillati; Actinomycetota; Actinomycetes; Bifidobacteriales; Bifidobacteriaceae
Description: tRNA_Leu_CAG
Rfam family: tRNA
About the family: Transfer RNA (tRNA) molecules are approximately 80 nucleotides in length. Their secondary structure includes four short double-helical elements and three loops (D, anti-codon, and T loops).
Source: RNAcentral